Non-coding RNA from Ciona savignyi (Pacific transparent sea squirt), 82 nucleotides. The record is from Rfam. Lineage: Eukaryota; Metazoa; Chordata; Ascidiacea; Phlebobranchia; Cionidae.
GUCGUCGUGGCCGAGUGGUUAAGGCGACAGACUAGAAAUCUGUUGGGCUCUGCCCGCACAGGUUCGAAUUCUGUCGGCGACG